GGGUUCUCAAGCGUGAGGUAAGGGCAUUUGGUGGAUGCCUUGGCAUGCACAGGCGAUGAAGGA
Molecule: ribosomal RNA, 63 nt
Filed under: Pseudomonas sp.
Lineage: Bacteria; Pseudomonadati; Pseudomonadota; Gammaproteobacteria; Pseudomonadales; Pseudomonadaceae
Description: partial 23S ribosomal RNA
Source: RNAcentral